GCGAGUGUCCGUGCCGUAGGGUUUGAACGACGUUCAAAUGUCCCCGAUCCCACUGCCUACAAAUGCUGCGCGCUCAGAGGUGAAGGCGUAAAUCAUUUUGGACAGUUCUGUUCCAGGCAAAACCACCGGAGGUUCUCCAGCGCCCAAUCCAAAUCCACAAGCAGGUGGUGAGCUGUUGAAAGCCCUCACUUCACCCAGGAUAUCACACCUCCAGCCUAAUGAGACAGCUACAAACAACAGUAAACACUGACAAAACUGUCAGAGACAGAGACUCAAUGUCGGAAGGAAAAAUUGAAGGGAAGGAGACGUGGAUGAAGGGAAAAAUGGGAUUAGGACUUGCGUAAAAGGAUGAAGUGACGGAUGAGGAGGACGGGUAAAACAGAGGGGAAUCGGCAAGGGCGGAGGGGACACAGAAGUGGAAAGGAAGGAAUCAGGGACGGAAAGAGGCAGAGAAGAUGGUCUGACCAUCCAAUGCAGGGCUGUGUUUAGGGACACCUCUGGGACAUUACAGAUGGCUGGGCAACAGUUGAGCGAGGGAAAAGGGAAGUACUUCUCUUACAAAAUGGUGACACCAAAUUUUGGACGAUCUGCAAAAUAAUUGAAAUCCGACCAUACAGACACGAAACCGAGUGCCACUGUUUGUCUUUGGACUUCUAUGUGCUCUGAUUUUUAAACGCAAGCCUGAGCAAAAGUGUUGACUCACCACCACUUAGGGGGAAUUGAGGAAUUUGCCUAUCGUGUUCGGUAACGUUACAAAGUGGAUUAUUGAUGCUGCACCUGGGGGAGAAAAUCCUAUUUAAGCCACUAAGGGUUUAUAGAAUGCAGCGGCUGAGACAAUGGGGAGAGUCACAAUGUCGUCAAAGUCAAAUCUAGUAAGGUCAGUUUAAAAAGUGAAAGUCUUUAACAGCAAAUACCACCACACCAUUUAGUGAGGAGAGAUUCAUGUACCAACGGAUUUAUUUUCCAUUCUGUAUUUAUUUCUGUUCGUCCAUUUCCAACGGUAAAUGAGCCAUGCCUCACCUGGCCUCAGGUAAGAUGAGAGGAUCUGAAUAAAAAAAAAAAGCUUUCUUAACCUCCUAACGCUGUGUCCAGGAUCUGGUGACUGUAUGUUGUUAUCACCAGUAUGGUUGUUAAUUUAAUGCGGCAAACUCACCGCUCAUUUCUUGUCUUCUGUCAUGCUACUCAAUUAUUUACCUGCUGAUUCCAUUUCUUCAUCAUUUCCUGUAGGAAAAAUGAUGUUCUCAUCUUUCACUUUUUCUUGGCUUUAAAUGUAUCCUAUAAUGAGCAUGAGCCUUAAAACCAACAGUUACCUUUGACCAACCAAUGCUGUUGCCAAAGGUAAUACUUAAAAUCCGACAAUGAUGAAGCAGUCUGAUAUUUGUAACAUAUCCUUAUUGCACACAAGCCUCAGGUUUGGCUUAGUUGAAAUAUUUUGAAACUGUC
Molecule: long non-coding RNA, 1443 nt
Organism: Gasterosteus aculeatus aculeatus (three-spined stickleback)
Lineage: Eukaryota; Metazoa; Chordata; Actinopteri; Perciformes; Gasterosteidae
Source: Ensembl